UGUUUCGUUUUAAUUGUAGUUGUGAGUUUCUAUGUUCAACAUUUGAUCAUCCGUCUUAUUCGAUUUUUUUAUUAGUAUUUUUAUUAUUAUUAUAUGAUAAAAGAUUAAUAGUACUUUAUGCAUGACUUAUAUUUUUAAUUUUUUUAUAUUUUUAAAUAAGAUAGACAGUUAAACGUUCACGGAAACCCGCUAAAAUAGAACGGACGGAGC
RNAcentral lists this microRNA precursor (210 nucleotides) under Oryza sativa (Asian cultivated rice). Its description in RNAcentral is "partial microRNA MIR438m-2 precursor". The stretch from base 9 to 195 matches the Rfam family "MIR812 microRNA precursor family". The record is from RNAcentral. Lineage: Eukaryota; Viridiplantae; Streptophyta; Magnoliopsida; Poales; Poaceae.